UCGGUCCCCCCACCAUCUACUUUCUGUCUCUGUGGAUUUGAUGACCCUGGGGACCUCGUGGUCAUCAGAGAGCUGUCGGCGAAGGCUCUGCAUAACCUGGCCCAGCGAGCACCCGAGUACAGCGCUGCUCACGCCUCUGCAGGAUGGGCCUUAGCCAAGGCACAGAGCUGCCCCAGUGCUGCGUCCUGAAGAGGAGGGCGGCUGGUGUGUGCUGGUCACACCCCGUGGCCGCUGAGGACCCGUGGUUUCGCAUCACGUGUUUUCUACUUGGAGUCAGUGAGCAUCUGAUUGCGAUGCAGGGGCAAGACACACAAAAUGCCACAUGUUCCUGUUAGAGUGUCAGUGGUUGGGUCUCGCCUCCUUUGGAGUCACCAGUGUUACAAACGUGUAUAAAUGUGAUUAAAGCCUUUCACAUUAAGUGAAUCUGUCUGGUACUGACUUUCUUUGAAUAAGUGGUCCUUGCUGCCUGAAUAAAGGUGCUCAGCAUCGUCCUUUCCUCCCAGUGGGAGCGUGAAUGGCCCCAGGAUAAGGGAGUCCUGGAUGUGCUGGCCGUGCCCAGUGGCAGUGGCAGUGGGGCCCUGUGGGGGCCUCCCCUGGCUUUCGCAGCUGCAUUUGGGGAAGCUGAGCUUAGCAGGCAGAGAUGUUGUGGACACGGCCCCUUAUCUGCACUCUGUAGCAGGCUGCAGGGGCCUGUGGCUCUGCUCUCUGUCCCCAGAGUACAGAAGGCAGGGCCUCCCUGUGUCCUGAGCAGAGAGGGCACUUCCUGCACAGGGUGCACCGUGUGUGGACAGCGGGCCCCUGCGCUCAGCCCCGUCCUGUCUGCCCUACGGAAAGACGGACAGGCAUGUUUUCCUUCUUCCUCGUGCUCCCUUGUCACCCCACACUACCCACUUUGUGCCCGGGGGGAUGUGGGGAGACAGAGGCAUCCCCCAAGAGCUGAGGCAGAGCUUGGCAUUUGUAGGCUUCAGUCCAGCCCUGGGGGUGCAGCAGCUGUUCUGGCGGUGCCUCUGUGCGGCAGC
This is a non-coding RNA of Manis javanica (Malayan pangolin), 1019 nucleotides long. The record is from RefSeq and is a predicted model, not a curated record. NCBI's taxonomy places the organism in Eukaryota, Metazoa, Chordata, Mammalia, Pholidota, Manidae.